This 303-nucleotide ribosomal RNA is filed under the name uncultured bacterium. RNAcentral describes it as "partial 16S ribosomal RNA". It matches the Rfam family "Bacterial small subunit ribosomal RNA", at positions 507 to 807 of the family's 1533-position model. The record is from RNAcentral.
AGCAGUAGCCGCGGUAAUACGGAGGGAGCUAGCGUUGUUCGGAAUUACUGGGCGUAAAGCGCGCGUAGGCGGUUACUCAAGUCAGAGGUGAAAGCCCGGGGCUCAACCCCGGAACUGCCUUUGAAACUAGGUGACUAGAAUCUUGGAGAGGUCAGUGGAAUUCCGAGUGUAGAGGUGAAAUUCGUAGAUAUUCGGAAGAACACCAGUGGCGAAGGCGACUGACUGGACAAGUAUUGACGCUGAGGUGCGAAAGCGUGGGGAGCAAACAGGAUUAGAUACCCCGGUAGUCCCUGUCUCUUAUAC